This 363-nucleotide ribosomal RNA is filed under the name Triticum aestivum (bread wheat). Its description in RNAcentral is "partial small subunit ribosomal RNA". Lineage: Eukaryota; Viridiplantae; Streptophyta; Magnoliopsida; Poales; Poaceae. The record is from RNAcentral.
AUGUUUAUUAUAUCGCAGGAAAUCAAUACCAAAUGGAGUCCAAACGCAGUGAAACUUUUUGUGGAUUUUUUUGGGCUAAAAGGCAUCCAGUGGGCCAGGAACGCACCUCAGGGGUGCUCCGAGGGGAGCACAACCCACCAGAGCGUGCCUGGGGCCCCAGGCGUUCCCCGGUGGGUUGUGCCCUCCUUGUUGGCCUCCCGCACCGCGUCUUUGCUCUAUAAAUACCCCAGUAUUCCAGAAACCCUAGGAGAGUUGACGAAAAUCAUAUCUAGCUCCCGCAGAGUCCAGAACCACCUGAUCCAAUCUAGACACCAUCAUGGAGGGGUUCACCACUUCCAUUGGUGCCUCUUCGAUGAUGCGUGA